RNAcentral lists this ribosomal RNA (549 nucleotides) under Triticum aestivum (bread wheat). RNAcentral describes it as "partial small subunit ribosomal RNA". The record is from RNAcentral. Lineage: Eukaryota; Viridiplantae; Streptophyta; Magnoliopsida; Poales; Poaceae.
AUGGCGGACCAGCUCAGCGAGGAGCAGAUUGGCGAGUUCAAGGAGGCCUUCAGCCUCUUCGACAAGGACGGCGAUGGUAGCAUCACCACCAAGGAGCUUGGAACCGUGAUGCGCUCCCUCGGCCAGAACCCUACCGAGGCGGAGCUGCAGGACAUGAUCAACGAGGUGGAUGCGGACGGCAAUGGCACCAUCGACUUCCCAGAGUUCCUGAACCUGAUGGCCCGCAAGAUGAAGGACACCGACUCUGAGGAGGAGCUCAAGGAGGCGUUCCGCGUGUUUGACAAGGACCAGAACGGUUUCAUCUCUGCAGCGGAGCUCCGCCAGGUGAUGACCAACCUCGGGGAGAAGCUGUCGGAGGAGGAGGUGGAGGAGAUGGUCCGCGAGGCCGAUGUGGACGGCGAUGGCCAGAUCAACUACGACGAGUUCGUCAAGGUCAUGAUGGCCAAGAGAAGGGAGAAGAGGAUAGAGGAGAGGAGAGCGCCGUCGGCCAAGAAGAGCGCGGCAGGGGCAUCCGGUGCAAAGAGUGGCAGCAAAUGCAUAAUCCUCUAG